RNAcentral lists this ribosomal RNA (1431 nucleotides) under Limosilactobacillus reuteri. RNAcentral's name for it is "Lactobacillus reuteri partial 16S ribosomal RNA". It matches the Rfam family "Bacterial small subunit ribosomal RNA". The record is from RNAcentral. Lineage: Bacteria; Bacillati; Bacillota; Bacilli; Lactobacillales; Lactobacillaceae.
AUACAUGCAAGUCGUACGCACUGGCCCAACUGAUUGAUGGUGCUUGCACCUGAUUGACGAUGGAUCACCAGUGAGUGGCGGACGGGUGAGUAACACGUAGGUAACCUGCCCCGGAGCGGGGGAUAACAUUUGGAAACAGAUGCUAAUACCGCAUAACAACAAAAGCCACAUGGCUUUUGUUUGAAAGAUGGCUUUGGCUAUCACUCUGGGAUGGACCUGCGGUGCAUUAGCUAGUUGGUAAGGUAAUGGCUUACCAAGGCGAUGAUGCAUAGCCGAGUUGAGAGACUGAUCGGCCACAAUGGAACUGAGACACGGUCCAUACUCCUACGGGAGGCAGCAGUAGGGAAUCUUCCACAAUGGGCGCAAGCCUGAUGGAGCAACACCGCGUGAGUGAAGAAGGGUUUCGGCUCGUAAAGCUCUGUUGUUGGAGAAGAACGUGCGUGAGAGUAACUGUUCACGCAGUGACGGUAUCCAACCAGAAAGUCACGGCUAACUACGUGCCAGCAGCCGCGGUAAUACGUAGGUGGCAAGCGUUAUCCGGAUUUAUUGGGCGUAAAGCGAGCGCAGGCGGUUGCUUAGGUCUGAUGUGAAAGCCUUCGGCUUAACCGAAGAAGUGCAUCGGAAACCGGGCGACUUGAGUGCAGAAGAGGACAGUGGAACUCCAUGUGUAGCGGUGGAAUGCGUAGAUAUAUGGAAGAACACCAGUGGCGAAGGCGGCUGUCUGGUCUGCAACUGACGCUGAGGCUCGAAAGCAUGGGUAGCGAACAGGAUUAGAUACCCUGGUAGUCCAUGCCGUAAACGAUGAGUGCUAGGUGUUGGAGGGUUUCCGCCCUUCAGUGCCGGAGCUAACGCAUUAAGCACUCCGCCUGGGGAGUACGACCGCAAGGUUGAAACCCAAAGGAAUUGACGGGGGCCCGCACAAGCGGUGGAGCAUGUGGUUUAAUUCGAAGCUACGCGAAGAACCUUACCAGGUCUUGACAUCUUGCGCUAACCUUAGAGAUAAGGCGUUCCCUUCGGGGACGCAAUGACAGGUGGUGCAUGGUCGUCGUCAGCUCGUGUCGUGAGAUGUUGGGUUAAGUCCCGCAACGAGCGCAACCCUUGUUACUAGUUGCCAGCAUUAAGUUGGGCACUCUAGUGAGACUGCCGGUGACAAACCGGAGGAAGGUGGGGACGACGUCAGAUCAUCAUGCCCCUUAUGACCUGGGCUACACACGUGCUACAAUGGACGGUACAAUGAGUCGCAAGCUCGCGAGAGUAAGCUAAUCUCUUAAAGCCGUUCUCAGUUCGGACUGUAGGCUGCAACUCGCCUACACGAAGUCGGAAUCGCUAGUAAUCGCGGAUCAGCAUGCCGCGGUGAAUACGUUCCCGGGCCUUGUACACACCGCCCGUCACACCAUGGGAGUUUGUAACGCCCAAAGUCGGUGGCCUAAC